This 439-nucleotide ribosomal RNA is filed under the name uncultured bacterium. RNAcentral's name for it is "partial 16S ribosomal RNA". It matches the Rfam family "Bacterial small subunit ribosomal RNA", at positions 339 to 795 of the family's 1533-position model. The record is from RNAcentral.
CUACGGGCGGCUGCAGUGGGGAAUAUUGGACAAUGGGGGAAACCCUGAUGCAGCAACGCCGCGUGGAGGAUGACGCAUUUCGGUGUGUAAACUCCUUUUAUAUGUCAAGAAAAUGACGGUAGCAUAUGAAUAAGCACCGGCUAACUCCGUGCCAGCAGCCGCGGUAAUACGGAGGGUGCAAGCGUUACUCGGAAUCACUGGGCGUAAAGGACGCGUAGGCGGGUUGGAAAGUCAGGUGUGAAAUCCCACAGCUUAACUGUAGAACUGCACUUGAAACUUCUAAUCUAGAGUAUGGGAGGGGGAGAUGGAAUUAGUGGUGUAGGGGUAAAAUCCGUAGAUAUCACUAGGAAUACCUAAAGCGAAGGCGAUCUCCUGGAACAUUACUGACGCUAAGGCGUGAAAGCGUGGGGAGCAAACAGGAUUAGAUACCCCCGUAGUC